UUUCUAUUUCUUUUGAUUUUAAUAUCUUUAAAUUUUUUUUAUAACUUCCAAUAACUUCUUUAAAUGGUGUAGUGCUUUAUAUUUGUCAUUCCCAAAACUCUUUCAAUCCUCACGUGAAAUCAAAAGGAGUCCCUAUUGUCAAAAAAUAUUUCAGAUGUGAAGGGAUUCUUUCUUCAACAAUCUCAUCAUUACUCAUUGAAUAUUCCAUGAAUGCAAUCUUUCUUCUUCCCCAUUGUUCUAAUUUGAAAAGUUGAAAGAAUGGAACACGUGUAAACAUCAGAUUUUGCAUGGAAACUCAACCAUCAUGCCCUUUUAUUCUUCCCCUUCUAUAUAUUCUAUUCUAAUUCAUACGUUCCUUAUACUGCUUUCCCAUAUCCCUCAAAUUCUUCUUUGGUUCCAAACUUUUCUAUGGAUCCAGUAAAUCAUCAAAACCUCCAUUACAAGAGUUUCUUCCCUGUUCAUAGUCGCUAUUUAGAAAGGGAAGGUGAACUGAGUCGUGCGUAUGUGAGGCUUAACAGGAACAAGUUAAAGCCACAAUGGGUUUUGAUUGAUGAUGGGGGAAGCAGCAUAUUGUGGGAUAUAACAUGAAUGAAGAAAGGCCUCGCCUAACCACUGGUUGGUAUGAAUUGAGGCAAUACUAUAACCUGGAGGGGAAGUGCAUCAUUUGGUUCCAUGAGGUUGAUGAUUCCAUUUUCCACAUUGAUGUUCGUGAUCAAAACCAUAGAGAAAUUCAAGUUCCUGGAGGUCCUCCUCCAAUAGAUUGGGGCGUGAAUGAUGAUAUUGAUGCUCUUGGUGUUCUUGAUUUUUAUCCUGAAUUUAGGUUUUUCAUGUCAAUCUUAUCAAGGCUCUCCUCCUCUAUAUCAGAGAAAUCCUUCAUCUAUUCCUCCUCCUGUUUCUGAUCCUCUUAAUUUCUCUGACGAUGAUCAAAAUUUUGUUCAAGAGGGUGACAUGCAUCUUGAUGUUCCUAAACAAAAUGUUGUUCAAGAAGCAAUCUUUGAAUGUGAAUUUUAUACUCAGAUCACUCACGAGUUUUACUCAUCAAAUCAAGUUCCUGUUCCCCAAAAUGCUGCUUCAUAUCUCAAAGAAGUUAGGGUUGAUAAGUGGGUUUUGCAUGAAAAGGGUUGAAGAUACUUAUAGUCGAUGACAAAGGAGUAGUAUCUAAUUGUACUCGGAAUGUCAUGUAUGAAGAAGUAUUCCAGAACAUAUGAAUGGUUAGAUUAUCUAUCUUAGAUUUUAUACUUCUUUGUAUCAUGCACAUUGUAAGUAGCCGUGAAAUAUAUUUUUAUGUCUUAUUUAAACCAUUUUCCAAAUUUUUGCA
Lotus japonicus is the source of this 1318-nucleotide long non-coding RNA. RefSeq lists it as uncharacterized. The record is from RefSeq and is a predicted model, not a curated record. The transcript is spliced from 3 exons. Lineage: Eukaryota; Viridiplantae; Streptophyta; Magnoliopsida; Fabales; Fabaceae.